ACAGCUGGCGGCGUGCUUAACACAUGCAAGUCGAGCGGAAAGGCCCUUUCGGGGGUACUCGAGCGGCGAACGGGUGAGUAACACGUGAGCAACCUGCCCCUGGCUCUGGGAUAGCCUCCGGAAACGGGGAUUAAUACCGGACAUGACUUCCUGCCGCAUGGCGGGGGGUGGAAAGUUUUUCGGCCAGGGUGGGGCUCGCGGCCUAUCAGCUUGUUGGGGGGUGACGGCCCACCAAGGCGACGACGGGUAGCCGGCCUGAGAGGGCGACCGGCCACACUGGGACUGAGACACGGCCCAGACUCCUACGGGAGGCAGCAGUGGGGAAUAUUGCGCAAUGGGGGAAACCCUGACGCAGCGACGCCGCGUGCGGGAUGAAGGCCUUCGGGUUGUAAACCGCUUUCACCAGGGACGAAGCGAGAGUGACGGUACCUGGGGAAGAAGCGCCGGCUAACUACGUGCCAGCAGCCGCGGUAAUACGUAGGGCGCGAGCGUUGUCCGGAAUUAUUGGGCGUAAAGAGCUCGUAGGCGGCCGGUUGCGUCUGCUGUGAAAUCCCGGGGCUUAACCCCGGGCGUGCAGUGGAUACGGGCCGGCUGGAGGCAGGCAGGGGAGAAUGGAAUUCCCGGUGUAGCGGUGAAAUGCGCAGAUAUCGGGAGGAACACCGGUGGCGAAGGCGGUUCUCUGGGCCUGUACUGACGCUGAGGAGCGAAAGCGUGGGGAGCGAACAGGAUUAGAUACCCUGGUAGUCCACGCCGUAAACGUUGGGCGCUAGGUGUGGGUCC
This 780-nucleotide ribosomal RNA is filed under the name uncultured earthworm cast bacterium. Its description in RNAcentral is "bacterial SSU rRNA". It matches the Rfam family "Bacterial small subunit ribosomal RNA", at positions 33 to 829 of the family's 1533-position model. The record is from RNAcentral.